CUCAAUAGUAUGCCAGCUAUGAAAGUUCCGUUAAUAGUUCAUAGUGAAUUUUAUGAAGGGGUCUGUUGUCUCAUAACAAAUAGGUAAGGGACCAAAUUUGCCUCCCCCCCUUUUUUUUGUUUGUUAGUGAUCGUGUUGUUCUUUAGGGAAAUAGACAGAGAUCAAUUUGAUUGUUCAAUCUAAUUCUUAUUGUGAAAUGUUAACCUGUCUUCUGUCCUACAUUAGUUUUCCCAAUAAGAGGUAAUUUUCUUACCCAAGUACAUAAGCAUAUAUCAUUUAGAGAUCCUAAAAUGUAAUUUGUAUAGGUUUUUCUGUUACUUAUCUAAGCAUUUGGGUAGGUGAGACUUUCAAUUUCUACAUAAGGGGUCUUGUUCUUCCCUUCCUCUUUUUCUUUUCGGAUUAUAUGUAUGUACUGGUCACCUUCCUUCAAUCAAGUCAUUAGCUAAGUCAAUGUAAAAUGAGAAAUCAAGGAGCGUAACAUAUGCAAGUGAAAACUAAAUGAAGAAGCUAUUUUUUAGAGCCUA
Molecule: non-coding RNA, 524 nt
Organism: Arachis ipaensis
Lineage: Eukaryota; Viridiplantae; Streptophyta; Magnoliopsida; Fabales; Fabaceae
Source: RefSeq, a predicted model, not a curated record